Molecule: unclassified non-coding RNA, 434 nt
Filed under: Hevea brasiliensis (rubber tree)
Lineage: Eukaryota; Viridiplantae; Streptophyta; Magnoliopsida; Malpighiales; Euphorbiaceae
Source: RNAcentral
CAGAAAUGUCGCAAAUUCCUGAAUAGAAAACAUGAGCUCUGUAAAUUAUAUUUCAAGAUGAUGGCAUUCUUGGAGUGGUGUAUAUUAUCAGUACUACUAAUUGGAUUUUAAUUUCACAGAAAAAAUGAAUGAAGUUAAGAUUUGAUCUUAUAGGGAAGCCAGUAUAUUGACACAUUUGUGACAAUGACAAUCAUCAAGUUUCUUCUGCCAUGUCUUUCUUCCCCAGAUUGACUAAGUUUAGCAAGCUUGUAUGUUCUAAAUUUAAGAAAAAUAGAUUAAAAAAAAUAAUCUGAGAACUAAUUAUUCUGGGAUUCCCACCUUGAGAAAUUUUUUUUUAGACUAGAAAGCUCAAAUAGAUGUACAAAAAAAUUCUAAAUUAAGAGAAAUGUUUAAAGGCAAAUUGAAGAGAUAUUAUGUACAUAGCCCCACUGCAG